Prolemur simus (greater bamboo lemur) is the source of this 107-nucleotide small nuclear RNA. NCBI's taxonomy places the organism in Eukaryota, Metazoa, Chordata, Mammalia, Primates, Lemuridae. The record is from Ensembl.
GUGCUCACUUCAGCAGUACAUAUACUAAAAUUGGAACAAUACCAAGAAGAUUAGCCGUGUCCCCUGCACAAGGAUGACAUGCAAAUGGUGAAGUGUUCCAUAUUUUU